UGGGCCCAUAAAAUGGUUAUGGCUGCUGGAAUUUAGGGCUAUUCCGCUACGUGCGAUAGCAGAUACUUUCUGCACGAGGCUCGCGAGCGGCGAGUUCCUAAUUUCGCAGGGUCGGUCGAUGCGUCGCGGGAUUUGGUGUUAUUGCCGCAGGAUCUCUUGUUUCCAACGCUGGAUCUCUUGUUUCCAUCGCUGGAUCUCGUGAUAAGAAGCCCUAAAGCAUCGACUUCUCAAAGUGCCACCUCUCAAUAAUCAGAAAUCAUUUUUAUAUC
This is a long non-coding RNA of Dendrobium catenatum, 269 nucleotides long. RefSeq lists it as uncharacterized. NCBI's taxonomy places the organism in Eukaryota, Viridiplantae, Streptophyta, Magnoliopsida, Asparagales, Orchidaceae. The transcript is spliced from 2 exons. The record is from RefSeq and is a predicted model, not a curated record.